GACUCAUAUUCUCGCUGCCUGCCUUUGACCCAUGCCUGGUAAAUCACUCUGUGUCUGUUUGCCGCCAGCCUUGAAACCUUUAAUACUACUGUUGAUGUGUUUGCACCUUUGUGCAUAUUGUGUGUUUGAGUGAGAGCGUGAUUAAUAAAUACUGCAUAAUGGAUCCCUCCGUGUCAGUCUCCUCGUUACACAGACAGGUUGACAAACAACUGACGAAAGAAGAGAGACCAUUCAAUAGAGGACUUCUAGAUGUAUCCAUAAUCCUGAAACAGACCGUAUCAUGAGCAGAUGCAGUGGUGGUCAUGGAGGAGUGGAGAGCAUGAGACUGAUUAAUGAAAGACCCCAGUGACAGAUGAGUGCCCACAUUGAUCCUGUGGUCCAGCCUGAAAACCCACUGGUGACCUACUCACACCUGCAGCUUCUCCACAAUGGAUGCCCAGUGUUCUUCAGCCUCCAGCGCCUAGACUGCAGCUUUGCAGGUGAAGUGUAGCCAGAAGAGAAAUGGUUGUGCCCAACUGAGCCUGGAUUCUCUCAAGGUUUAUUCCUUCACUUACUUCAAUUGGUGAAGUUUUGUUAUUCCACUGUCGCCAUUGGCUUGCUUGGUUUAGGACAUGUGGAACUGUGCAUCGGUGGCUUUGCUUUUCAGUGUUUGGACUUUCAGCAUUGAAAACUAAACCACACUGAACUGAAUUUAAUAAAUGUUAAGCUGCUUUGACACAAUCUACGUUGUAAAAGUGCUUUAGAAAUACAGAUGAAAUUAAUUGAAAUUGAAUUGAAUAUUCAACAUGUUCCCCUUUUUCUCAGAAAACAUAUUUAUAAAGGUGCUGUUGACGUGAAAUUUUCACCAGAUGUUGAUAACAAUUUGUAAAGUAAUUAGAUUUGUUUCCUAUUCAUAUAUUUUUUUUCUUUGGUUAUCAGGUCAAUAGCACCUUUUUAGAAAUCUGUUUUCUGAGACAAUUGGAAACGACUGGAAACAAUUCUGAGACAAUUGGAAACGAAAUACUUAUUUACCCGUGUGUGUGUGUGUGUACACUUGAACUCUUCUUCUCUCUCUCAUUAACAGCAAUAAAAAAUUGAAUACAGCAACUGAAUAAACAAUGGGGUGUGUUUUUUUUUUUUUUUUUUUUUUUUUUUUUUUUUUUUGUGGUUGAAUAGCAUUAAUACAAAAAGAGUGUGUGGAUAUUUAUAUAAAUGUACAUUCUUGAAUCAUUCUUGUGUCUUGACUCUCUAAAACCUUUACAACCUGGUUUUAAAUUAGUAACUGAAAAUGCUGAUCACAUUUGAUUUCAAUUUAUUUUCCCUUAUACUGAGCUAAUUAGUUCAAUGUAAUGGGGUUCAUCAAUAUACAGUAUUUUUCAAGGAAUUUGAGACUUAAGGUACUCAACUUUAUUUAUUCAUUUAUAUUUUAGGUGUAAAAUACCAGGCUGGCUAUGGGCCUGUAAACAAUAUAGGGAGUGUGUCAAGUUGUCACUGAAUGAAUGUGUGAAUAUAAAACCAAGUUAACCUUAAUAACUUACACGUUCACGUUUCAUUCUGAGCAUUCAGUGUCCACAGUUUGGUUAACCAUAUGUAACUAUUUUUGCUAAAAUAAUUUCUGCAAUCAAAAACGAGUAAUGUGUAUUAAUCAGCAUAGCGAGAACUUACCUGAUAUAACACGAGAACUGCAGGUCGUCACUUAAUUCAGCUCCCUUUAGCCAAAGACGUCUGCAGUUGCAUUAAAGCAGUGUGGUGUAUGGUAAAAGCAGAAUUAGGCAUCUAACCGCACAACACGGCAUCUUUACUAUUGCAGUCUGGUUUUUUUUUUUUUUUUUUUUGGCAACCGGGGACCCGUGUAACGUCACGUGUGACGUAGGUUGGUAAUUGGUCUAUAGAAAUGAUCAAAACAAUAUAGACUGAUCCCAACAAUAGUGUUAUCUGUGGAUCAGAUACGUAUGUCAUUGGCUACCUGCUCAAUGCAACCAAGGAUGGUGCUCAAUGUCAUGCAAGCUGGGGUGAGAUCAGCCAACGCUGCACUGAGACACCAGCUAAUCACCUGACGGCACUCUGUUACACACAACACAGUCUUCAGAAGAACAGUAAAAGAUCAAACGUAUCCCUGGGAAUUAUCCCUUAGUCUGGGAUAGGCUUGUAAGGUUUAGGAAAAGUCAAGGUUUUAAAGCUGCCAAAGUUUUCUGUUAUACCCUUCCUAAGGUAUAUUGUAUUUAGUUUUUUAGGGCAACAGUAUAUCCAGAAGAAAAUGAACCUCUACAUCAAAAGUUACUGGUCCUAAAUAUUUUAAAUGUUUGUUAAAAUAAAAUAUAUUAUGGUAAAUGG
Danio rerio (zebrafish) is the source of this 2313-nucleotide non-coding RNA. The record is from RefSeq and is a predicted model, not a curated record. Lineage: Eukaryota; Metazoa; Chordata; Actinopteri; Cypriniformes; Danionidae.